Molecule: ribosomal RNA, 195 nt
Filed under: Escherichia coli
Lineage: Bacteria; Pseudomonadati; Pseudomonadota; Gammaproteobacteria; Enterobacterales; Enterobacteriaceae
Description: partial 23S ribosomal RNA
Rfam family: Bacterial large subunit ribosomal RNA
Source: RNAcentral
GGGUUGUGAGGUUAAGCGACUAAGCGUACACGGUGGAUGCCCUGGCAGUCAGAGGCGAUGAAGGACGUGCUAAUCUGCGAUAAGCGUCGGUAAGGUGAUAUGAACCGUUAUAACCGGCGAUUUCCGAAUGGGGAAACCCAGUGUGUUUCGACACACUAUCAUUAACUGAAUCCAUAGGUUAAUGAGGCGAACCGG